UAAAAAGUGGUGUAUCGGUGCACGAGGAGUUUUGAUCUCCUUAGGUUAGGUUCGAGCCCUUUCUUUUUAA
This 70-nucleotide transfer RNA is filed under the name Micromoema xiphophora. Its description in RNAcentral is "Micromoema xiphophorus tRNA-Gln". Lineage: Eukaryota; Metazoa; Chordata; Actinopteri; Cyprinodontiformes; Rivulidae. The record is from RNAcentral.